GCUGGGGUAGCUCAGUUGGUAGAGCAUGAGAGUCUUAAUCUCAGAGUUGUCGGUUUGAGCCCCACGUUGGGCG
Podarcis lilfordi (Lilford's wall lizard) is the source of this 73-nucleotide non-coding RNA. The record is from the annotation of a GenBank genome assembly. NCBI's taxonomy places the organism in Eukaryota, Metazoa, Chordata, Lepidosauria, Squamata, Lacertidae.